CCGCCUCCGGCCGCGCCUCACCGCCUGCCACCGUCGUCCUCUCUCGUCGGCGGAGAAUUCUCCUUAGGCGACUUUUGAAUUAUUAAAGUGGUCUUGCAGUUUGUUUACACAAGUCUCUAAGGAUCAAUAAGCGUUGCCCAUCUACAGGUUUGAAGAUGAUGCAUCAUUGGGAUCGGGAUUAGAGAGCUUGUAGUUAUAUUUGUUUUAUUAAGUGAUUUGGUUUGUUAACUUAAAUUUGAAAGUUGUCG
Spinacia oleracea (spinach) is the source of this 248-nucleotide long non-coding RNA. RefSeq lists it as uncharacterized. The record is from RefSeq and is a predicted model, not a curated record. Lineage: Eukaryota; Viridiplantae; Streptophyta; Magnoliopsida; Caryophyllales; Amaranthaceae. The transcript has 3 exons.